UGCCCCACUGCUACUUUUCUUGGCACAUUAUAAUCAGUGGAAUAGUGUGAAACCAUAGGCAGGAAUGUAUAUCGCGUGAUGCACAUGCGAUACAAACAAAACAGAACACUGCUCUCCAGCACUACUUUCAGUGGUCCAUUACAUCUGACUCAAACAUCGGAGUCACGCAACAGUGGAUAUAUAACACAACUGAGUGUGUUGUUGUGUUUUCAUGUGGGAGAACUGCUUUUUAAACGCAGCCGUCAAUUUUCAAUCUGUCAUUGUUUCCUCAUGGUUCUUCAAAGUUCUUUGAAUGUGCAAAACAAACCAAACUUACAGCCCCUAGUUUAGUUCCUGAGCACUGGUUCUAUGGAAGUUUUUGGUUAAAAACGUGUAGAAGUGGUUAAAAACUUUAUAGGGUACCUUUUAUCUUGGUUUUGGUUUGGUCCAAGGCUGCAUUACUGAGCAGACAAAUUAUAACCUGAUGCACAAGAUGGUUUGUUACACAGUCCAUUUGGAAAGGCACGGCUAGAAACUGUUUAGAAAAGGAAUGGACCAUAUGUCUUAUCACCGUCCAGCCUCAACCAAUCAAGUGCCAGGACGCUACCAGUGGCGGAGCUAGCUGUGUGGUAGGCCCCAACAUCAGCUGAUCAUCAACACCAUCGCCAAAGACCCCUUGUUCGUUCAAAGGUAACGUCACGUUGUAAAACUACAUAUUGAUGCCAACAUCUUCGCAGACUCAUCACUUCUUGUACAGUCGCAUCUUAGCCAGUGUUAGCAAAAUGCUAGCUAGCUGGGUUGCAUCACCAUUGUCUGUGCUCAGGAAUAAAUACUGGAGCACUUUAUUUAUCCCAAGAAAAGGAAACAUACCAGGCACUGAAGGAGAAAUGUCGACUGAUAAUCACGUCAUCCUCGGCCUCAACAAAAAGUGCUGCUCAUCAGGCAGUUAGCUCUGCCCCGUCACCAUAGUAAAGGGAGGGUGGAGGAGAAGGAGCACUCUGGUGUUUUGUUAUCUUUUGAGGAUGGAGGUCUGGUCGUCCUGUUUUCGUGGCUUUGCCUGUUUAAUGAUGUUUAAUUUAUGCAGUCUUUUCUUAGUUUAGGGAGGGAAGUUCUGGGUCCUACGGCCCACUGCGUGCCUGGCCCAGACUCCCUGCAUCUUUGUGUUCAUUAUGGCCAGGCCUCCAGGCUUCCAUACUUUUGGAUGACUCUAUUAUUUCUAAAUAAACCUUUACUUUCUUUUGCAAACUUG
This is a long non-coding RNA of Acanthopagrus latus (yellowfin seabream), 1228 nucleotides long. RefSeq lists it as uncharacterized. The record is from RefSeq and is a predicted model, not a curated record. Lineage: Eukaryota; Metazoa; Chordata; Actinopteri; Spariformes; Sparidae. The transcript is spliced from 2 exons.